AUUUAUGUAGUUUAAAGAACAAAACAUUGUGUUUUCAUCACAAAAAUAAUUUAUUAAUAUUUCAUAAAUU
Molecule: transfer RNA, 70 nt
Filed under: Agrilus biguttatus
Lineage: Eukaryota; Metazoa; Arthropoda; Insecta; Coleoptera; Buprestidae
Description: tRNA-Glu
Source: RNAcentral